Molecule: ribosomal RNA, 253 nt
Filed under: uncultured bacterium
Lineage: Bacteria
Description: partial 16S ribosomal RNA
Rfam family: Bacterial small subunit ribosomal RNA
Source: RNAcentral
UACGAAGGGGGCUAGCGUUGUUCGGAUUUACUGGGCGUAAAGCGCACGUAGGCGGGCUAAUAAGUCAGAGGUGAAAUCCCGGGGCUCAACCCCGGAACUGCCUUUGAUACUGUUAGUCUUGAGUAUGGAAGAGGUGAGUGGAAUUCCGAGUGUAGAGGUGAAAUUCGUAGAUAUUCGGAGGAACACCAGUGGCGAAGGCGGCUCACUGGUCCAUUACUGACGCUGGGGUGCGAAAGCGUGGGGAGCAAACAGG